GAUGAACGCUAGCGACAGGCUUAACACAUGCAAGUCGAGGGGUAACAGGGGAGCUUGCUCCCGCUGACGACCGGCGCACGGGUGCGUAACGCGUAUACAACCUGCCUCAAAGCGAGGGAUAACCCAGAGAAGUUUGGACUAAUACCUCAUAGUAUAUAUUAGAGGCAUCUUUGAUAUAUUAAAGAUUUAUUGCUUUGAGAUGGGUAUGCGUAUGAUUAGUUAGUUGGUAAGGUAACGGCUUACCAAGGCUACGAUCAUUAGGGGUUCUGAGAGGAAGGUCCCCCACACUGGUACUGAGACACGGACCAGACUCCUACGGGAGGCAGCAGUGAGGAAUAUUGGUCAAUGGGCGAGAGCCUGAACCAGCCAAGUCGCGUGAAGGAAGACGGUCCUAUGGAUUGUAAACUUCUUUUGUACAGGAGUAAAGUGAGUUACGAGUAACUUUUUGCAAGUACUGUACGAAUAAGCAUCGGCUAACUCCGUGCCAGCAGCCGCGGUAAUACGGAGGAUGCGAGCGUUAUCCGGAUUUAUUGGGUUUAAAGGGUGCGCAGGCGGUAUUACAAGUCAGAGGUGAAAUCUUGGUGCUUAACAUUAAAAUUGCCUUUGAAACUGUAGUACUUGAGUGUAAAAGAGGUAGGCGGAAUGUGUUGUGUAGCGGUGAAAUGCUUAGAUAUAACACAGAACACCGAUUGCGAAGGCAGCUUACUAUAAUACAACUGACGCUCAUGCACGAAAGCGUGGGGAUCAAACAGG
This 753-nucleotide ribosomal RNA is filed under the name uncultured bacterium. RNAcentral's name for it is "bacterial SSU rRNA". It matches the Rfam family "Bacterial small subunit ribosomal RNA", at positions 28 to 776 of the family's 1533-position model. The record is from RNAcentral.